CAGUAGCCGCGGGAAAACGAAGGGUGCAAGCGUUACUCGGAAUUACUGGGCGUAAAGCGUGCGUAGGUGGUGGUUUAAGUCCGUUGUGAAAGCCCUGGGCUCAACCUGGGAAUUGCAGUGGAUACUGGGUCACUAGAGUGUGGUAGAGGAUAGUGGAAUUUCCGGUGUAGCAGUGAAAUGCGUAGAGAUCGGAAGGAACAUCUGUGGCGAAGGCGACUAUCUGGGCCAACACUGACACUGAGGCACGAAAGCGUGGGGAGCAAACAGGAUUAGAUACCCCUGUAGUCCCUGUCUCUUAACA
This 301-nucleotide ribosomal RNA is filed under the name uncultured bacterium. Its description in RNAcentral is "partial 16S ribosomal RNA". It matches the Rfam family "Bacterial small subunit ribosomal RNA", at positions 509 to 808 of the family's 1533-position model. The record is from RNAcentral.